CAGUCGCCGCGGUAACACGGAGGGGGCUAGCGUUGUUCGGAAUUACUGGGCGUAAAGCGCACGUAGGCGGCUUUGUAAGUUAGAGGUGAAAGCCCGGAGCUCAACUCCGGAAUUGCCUUUAAGACUGCAGAGCUAGCAGGUGAGAGAGGUGAGUGGAAUUCCGAGUGUAGAGGUGAAAUUCGUAGAUAUUCGGAAGAACACCAGUGGCGAAGGCGGCUCACUGGCUCAUACUGGACGCUGAGGUGCGAAAGCGUGGGGAGCAAACAGGAUUAGAUACCCCCGUAGUCCCGUCUCUUAUACA
This 301-nucleotide ribosomal RNA is filed under the name uncultured bacterium. RNAcentral's name for it is "partial 16S ribosomal RNA". It matches the Rfam family "Bacterial small subunit ribosomal RNA", at positions 509 to 808 of the family's 1533-position model. The record is from RNAcentral.